GAUGAAGAACGUAGCGAAAUGCGAUAAGUAAUGUGAAUUGCAGAAUUCAGUGAAUCAUCGAAUCUUUGAACGCACAUUGCGCCCCUUGGUAUUCCGAGGGGCAUGCCUGUUCGAGCGUCAUUACAACCCCUCAAGCUCUGCUUGGUGUUGGGUGUUUGUCUCGCCUCUGCGUGUAGACUCGCCUCAAAACAAUUGGCAGCCGGCGUAUUGAUUUCGGAGCGCAGUACAUCUCGCGCUUUGCACUCAUAACGACGACGUCCAAAAGUACAUUUUACACUCUUGACCUCGGAUCAGGUAGGGAUACCCGCUGAACUUAAGCAUAUCAAUAAGCGGAGGA
Molecule: unclassified non-coding RNA, 337 nt
Filed under: soil metagenome
Description: partial contains 5.8S ribosomal RNA, internal transcribed spacer 2, and large subunit ribosomal RNA
Rfam family: 5.8S ribosomal RNA (bases 1-120)
Source: RNAcentral